UAGUCAUAUGCUUGUCUCAAAGAUUAAGCCAUGCAUGUCUAAGCACAAGCCGAUUAAUGGUGAAGCCGCGAAUGGCUCAUUACAACAGCCAUAGUUUCUUAGAUCUUACUUUUCUACUUGGAUAACUGUGGUAAUUCUAGAGCUAAUACACGCAAACAAGCUCAGACCUUACGGAAUGAGCGCAUUUAUUAGAACAAAAACCAAUCGGAUCUCGGUCCGUCAUUUGGUGAAUCUGAAUAACUUUGCUGAUCGCACGGUCAUCGUACCGGCGACAUAUCUUUCAAAUGUCUGCCUUAUCAACUUUCGAUGGUAGUUUAUGCGCCUACCAUGGUUGUAACGGGUAACGGAGAAUAAGGGUUCGACUCCGGAGAGGGAGCCUGAGAAACGGCUACCACAUCCAAGGAAGGCAGCAGGCACGCAAAUUACCCACUCCCGGCACGGGGAGGUAGUGACGAAAAAUAACGAGACGGCUCGCUAUGCGGUCCGUCAUCGGAAUGGGUACAAUUUAAAUCCUUUAACGAGGAUCUAUU
RNAcentral lists this ribosomal RNA (530 nucleotides) under uncultured eukaryote. RNAcentral describes it as "SSU rRNA". It matches the Rfam family "Eukaryotic small subunit ribosomal RNA", at positions 21 to 549 of the family's 1831-position model. The record is from RNAcentral.